RNAcentral lists this long non-coding RNA (318 nucleotides) under Nicotiana benthamiana. RNAcentral's name for it is "long non-coding RNA (NBEN_LNC014273)". Lineage: Eukaryota; Viridiplantae; Streptophyta; Magnoliopsida; Solanales; Solanaceae. The record is from RNAcentral.
ACUUCCUCCCCUGAAGAAGUGACUUAGACUAUUUCGAGUGCAACCAAUGCUAUAGGCUAAGUUCUUGCCCCUUUGGCUAAUACAUAGGCACAUAUUUAUUGGCUACAAUUCGGUUGACAAGCCCCAACCGCUGGGUUAUCAUGCCUAAAACGUAGGCACUUCAUGGUCCAUGAUCAGCAUGUUUGCUCCCAUGAUCAGCAUGUCUGUCCCAUGAUUAGCAUGUUUGUAGGAGAGUGGCAGCAACCGCCAACUGCUUCCAUGUGCAUUGCAUGUGCGCCUUGGCCGAGCUGAUCCGCGCCUAAGGCUGGCAUUGCGCCC